GUAGUAGCAGUAGUAAUAAUAUUAUUGGUAGUAGUAGUACUAUUACCUAUAAAUACCCAUAUACUUAAAAGCUUUUAGUAUCAACCACAAAUCAAAGCUUGAGUUUCUCAAUUAGUCUAAUUUACUUCUUCCUCUCAUAUUUCAACAAAUUACUAUAUUCAGUUAGCGUAUCUCUUCAUUUUUCUAACAAAAACAAAUAAAAUGUAAUAGAUCAUUUUGUCAUUUGUAGGUUAAUUUGUACAUUCAAAUUCUUCUUGAAUUGAAAUAAGAUGGCAAUUUUUUUUCUUAU
RNAcentral lists this long non-coding RNA (289 nucleotides) under Carica papaya (papaya). RNAcentral describes it as "long non-coding RNA (CPAP_LNC000370)". Lineage: Eukaryota; Viridiplantae; Streptophyta; Magnoliopsida; Brassicales; Caricaceae. The record is from RNAcentral.